This 1469-nucleotide ribosomal RNA is filed under the name Escherichia coli. RNAcentral's name for it is "partial 23S ribosomal RNA". It matches the Rfam family "Bacterial large subunit ribosomal RNA", at positions 419 to 1873 of the family's 2925-position model. The record is from RNAcentral. Lineage: Bacteria; Pseudomonadati; Pseudomonadota; Gammaproteobacteria; Enterobacterales; Enterobacteriaceae.
GGGACACGUGGUAUCCUGUCUGAAUAUGGGGGGACCAUCCUCCAAGGCUAAAUACUCCUGACUGACCGAUAGUGAACCAGUACCGUGAGGGAAAGGCGAAAAGAACCCCGGCGAGGGGAGUGAAAAAGAACCUGAAACCGUGUACGUACAAGCAGUGGGAGCACGCUUAGGCGUGUGACUGCGUACCUUUUGUAUAAUGGGUCAGCGACUUAUAUUCUGUAGCAAGGUUAACCGAAUAGGGGAGCCGAAGGGAAACCGAGUCUUAACUGGGCGUUAAGUUGCAGGGUAUAGACCCGAAACCCGGUGAUCUAGCCAUGGGCAGGUUGAAGGUUGGGUAACACUAACUGGAGGACCGAACCGACUAAUGUUGAAAAAUUAGCGGAUGACUUGUGGCUGGGGGUGAAAGGCCAAUCAAACCGGGAGAUAGCUGGUUCUCCCCGAAAGCUAUUUAGGUAGCGCCUCGUGAAUUCAUCUCCGGGGGUAGAGCACUGUUUCGGCAAGGGGGUCAUCCCGACUUACCAACCCGAUGCAAACUGCGAAUACCGGAGAAUGUUAUCACGGGAGACACACGGCGGGUGCUAACGUCCGUCGUGAAGAGGGAAACAACCCAGACCGCCAGCUAAGGUCCCAAAGUCAUGGUUAAGUGGGAAACGAUGUGGGAAGGCCCAGACAGCCAGGAUGUUGGCUUAGAAGCAGCCAUCAUUUAAAGAAAGCGUAAUAGCUCACUGGUCGAGUCGGCCUGCGCGGAAGAUGUAACGGGGCUAAACCAUGCACCGAAGCUGCGGCAGCGACGCUUAUGCGUUGUUGGGUAGGGGAGCGUUCUGUAAGCCUGUGAAGGUGUACUGUGAGGUAUGCUGGAGGUAUCAGAAGUGCGAAUGCUGACAUAAGUAACGAUAAAGCGGGUGAAAAGCCCGCUCGCCGGAAGACCAAGGGUUCCUGUCCAACGUUAAUCGGGGCAGGGUGAGUCGACCCCUAAGGCGAGGCCGAAAGGCGUAGUCGAUGGGAAACAGGUUAAUAUUCCUGUACUUGGUGUUACUGCGAAGGGGGGACGGAGAAGGCUAUGUUGGCCGGGCGACGGUUGUCCCGGUUUAAGCGUGUAGGCUGGUUUUCCAGGCAAAUCCGGAAAAUCAAGGCUGAGGCGUGAUGACGAGGCACUACGGUGCUGAAGCAACAAAUGCCCUGCUUCCAGGAAAAGCCUCUAAGCAUCAGGUAACAUCAAAUCGUACCCCAAACCGACACAGGUGGUCAGGUAGAGAAUACCAAGGCGCUUGAGAGAACUCGGGUGAAGGAACUAGGCAAAAUGGUGCCGUAACUUCGGGAGAAGGCACGCUGAUAUGUAGGUGAAGCGACUUGCUCGUGGAGCUGAAAUCAGUCGAAGAUACCAGCUGGCUGCAACUGUUUAUUAAAAACACAGCACUGUGCAAACACGAAAGUGGACGUAUACGGUGUGACGCCUGCCCGGUGCCGGA